UGGGGAAUUUUCCGCAAUGGGCGAAAGCCUGACGGAGUGACGCCGCGUGGGGGACGAAGGCCUUCGGGUUGUAAACCCCUGUCAGAGGGAAAGAAGGGUGUCGGCGCGAUAACCGCCGGCAUCUGACGGUACCUUCAGAGGAAGCCCCGGCCAACUCUGUGCCAGCAGCCGCGGUAAGACAGAGGGGGCAAGCGUUGCUCGGAAUCACUGGGCGUAAAGGGCGCGUAGGCGGGAUGGCAAGUCAGUCGUGAAAUCUCUCGGCUCAACCGAGAAACGUCGGCUGAUACUGCCGUUCUUGAGGGAUGCAGAGGAGACUGGAAUUCCCGGUGUAGCGGUGAAAUGUGUAGAGAUCGGGAGGAACACCGGUGGCGAAGGCGGGUCUCUGGGCAUCUCCUGACGCUGAGGCGCGAAAGCGUGGGGAGCAAACGGGAUUAGAUACCCCGGUAGUCCACGCUGUAAACGAUGACGACUAGGUGUGGGGUGGUUCAGUCCAUUCCGUGCCGCAGCUAACGCAUUAAGUCGUCCGCCUGGGGAGUACGGCCGCAAGGUUGA
Molecule: ribosomal RNA, 552 nt
Filed under: uncultured bacterium
Lineage: Bacteria
Description: bacterial SSU rRNA
Rfam family: Bacterial small subunit ribosomal RNA
Source: RNAcentral